UGCAUAUCCNANNAGCGGAGGAAAAGAAACUAACAAGGAUUCCCCUAGUAACGGCGAGUGAAGCGGGAAGAGCUCAAAUUUGUAAUCUGGCACCUUCGGUGUCCGAGUUGUAAUCUCGAGAAGUGUUUUCCGCGCCGGACCGCAUACAAGUCUGUUGGAAUACAGCGUCAUAGUGGUGAGAGCCCCGUAACUGAUGCGGAUGCCCGGUGCUUUGUGAUACACUUUCGAAGAGUCGAGUUGUUUGGGAAUGCAGCUCAAAUUGGGUGGUAAAUUCCAUCUAAAGCUAAAUAUUGGCGAGAGACCGAUAGCGAACAAGUACCGUGAGGGAAAGAUGAAAAGCACUUUGGAAAGAGAGUUAACAGUACGUGAAAUUGUUGGAAGGGAAACGCUUGAAGUCAGACUUGCUAUUCGGAAUUCAGCCGCAAGGUGUACUUUUCGAUUUGCAGGCCAGCAUCAGUUUUCGGGGGUGGAAAAGGGUUGGAGGAAGGUAGCAAUCUCGGUUGUGUUAUAGCCUCCAGCUGGAUUCAUCUUUGGGGACUGAGGAACGCAGCGCGCUUUUUGCAAGGCUCUCGAGCUUUUCGCGCUUAGGAUGCUGGUGGAAUGGCUUUAAACGACCCGUCUUGAAACACGGAC
RNAcentral lists this ribosomal RNA (633 nucleotides) under Basidiomycota sp. GU54. Its description in RNAcentral is "eukaryotic LSU rRNA". It matches the Rfam family "Eukaryotic large subunit ribosomal RNA", at positions 37 to 666 of the family's 3401-position model. Lineage: Eukaryota; Fungi; Basidiomycota. The record is from RNAcentral.